AGAGUCAGAAUUGGUGCUGUUGGGCCGGGUCGUGCCCCCUGCCCAGAUAGGAUGACAACAUUAGAAAAAUCAGUCAGGUUGUUUGCGGAAUCCCAAGGGGAUAAUGUCAUUGUAUCAAAAUUGGGGCUCAGUUUUGAUACGUUGGGCAAGGCGUACGAUUUCUACAAUCUGUACUCCUGGGAGAAGGGAUUCGGGAUUCGUUAUGGAAAGAGCAGGCUAAAUGUAAAUCGGACGAAAUGUAUGCAAGAGAUAGUCUGCGGUUGCGCGGGAAAACCAAUAGUGGAGAAUACUCGAUCCUGCCGGUAUGAAUGUCCUGCCCUAAUCCAAUUGCUGCGAUCGAAGGACAAUGGGUGGUACAUAGCAAAGCACAGGGAGCAGCACAAUCAUGCCUUGUCCAGCACAUACGGUCAGACUUUGCACUGGCCAUCACAUAAACAUAUCAACGUAUACAGCAGGGAUCUGGUUAAGCAGUUGCGGAAGAACAAUGUGAACCUGUCAAAAGUGUAUAGCAUCAUAGGUAGCUUUUUUGGGAAAAUGGAGAAUGUACUGUUCACCAAGAGAGCAUUGCGGAACUUGUGUGGCAAAAUCAGUUGUGACCAGGCAGAGGAUGAUGUCAGAAAGACAAUGGAAGUGUUUCAAGAGAUUGGUGCUAAGGAUCAACAUUUCACAUACAGAGUACAAGCUGACAAAGAGGGGAGGAUAAGUAGUCUUAUGUGGGCGAACGGGAACAGCAGGCUUCAAUACACAUUCUUUGGUGAUGUGGUUACAUUUGAUACGACUUACGCUAAUCUGUAUGAUAUGCCAUUUGGGCUAUUUGUCGGAGUGAACAACCACUUCCAGAGCAUCAUACUCGCCGUCGUGCUUGUCAGGGAUGAGAAACAAGAAACAUUUGAGUGGGUAUUCUCGGAUUUUGUCAGAAUGAUGGGCGGUACUCCACCAUGGACAAUACUAAUGGGUAACUUCUUGCGCUUCUGUUGA
This 978-nucleotide ribosomal RNA is filed under the name Triticum aestivum (bread wheat). RNAcentral describes it as "partial small subunit ribosomal RNA". The record is from RNAcentral. Lineage: Eukaryota; Viridiplantae; Streptophyta; Magnoliopsida; Poales; Poaceae.